GAUGAACGCUGACAGAAUGCUUAACACAUGCAAGUCGAUGGGGAAGUGGUGCUUGCACCAUGGCAACCAUGGCGGACGGGUGAGUAACGCGUAAGGGACUUACCUGCAGGACUGGGAUAACAGGGGGAAACUCCUGACAAGACCGGAUAAUGUCAUGGAGCUGCAUGGCUUUAUGAUGAAAGGAGACGCCUGCGGAGAGCCUUGCGUCCUAUUAGCUAGUUGGUGAGGUAAUGGCUCACCAAGGCGAAGAUAGGUAGCCGGCUUGAGAGGGUGGACGGCCACAAGGGGACUGAGAUACGGCCCUUACUCCUACGGGAGGCAGCAGUGGGGAAUAUUGGACAAUGGGGGCAACCCUGAUCCAGCAAUUCUGUGUGCACGAAGAAGGUUUUCGGAUUGUAAAGUGCUUUCAGCAGGGAAGAAGUAAGUGACGGUACCUGCAGAAGAAGCGACGGCUAAAUACGUG
RNAcentral lists this ribosomal RNA (463 nucleotides) under uncultured bacterium. RNAcentral describes it as "partial 16S ribosomal RNA". It matches the Rfam family "Bacterial small subunit ribosomal RNA", at positions 28 to 507 of the family's 1533-position model. The record is from RNAcentral.